AUGUACAGCCAUAUCACCCUGCAGCCCAAGACUGGUCGCCCACUGAAGCUAAGCAGGGUUGAGCCUGGUCAGUACCUGGAUGGGAGACCUCCUGGGAAAACUAGUGGCGCUUU
RNAcentral lists this ribosomal RNA (113 nucleotides) under Sinocyclocheilus rhinocerous. The record is from RNAcentral. Lineage: Eukaryota; Metazoa; Chordata; Actinopteri; Cypriniformes; Cyprinidae.